This 70-nucleotide transfer RNA is filed under the name Eremiaphila sp. RNAcentral's name for it is "tRNA-Val". Lineage: Eukaryota; Metazoa; Arthropoda; Insecta; Mantodea; Eremiaphilidae. The record is from RNAcentral.
CAAGUUAUUCUUAUAGUUAAGGUUUUCAUUUACACUGAAUUUAUUUGUCGUGCAAUUCGUCAUAACUUGA